RNAcentral lists this ribosomal RNA (424 nucleotides) under uncultured bacterium. RNAcentral describes it as "partial 16S ribosomal RNA". It matches the Rfam family "Bacterial small subunit ribosomal RNA", at positions 360 to 776 of the family's 1533-position model. The record is from RNAcentral.
AAUUUUGGACAUUGGGGGUAACCCUGAUCCAGCUAUCCCGCGUUUUCGAUGAAGGCCUUCAGGUUGUAAAGCACUUUUGUCAGGGAAGUAAAGGCUCUGGCUAAUACCCGGAACUGAUGUCGGUACCUGUUGAAUAUGCUCCGGCACACUCCGUGCCAGCAUCCGCGGUAGUAUGUAGGAUGCAAGCUUUAAUCGGAAUUACUGGGCGUAAAGCGUGCGCAGGCGGUUCGGAAAGAAGGAUGUGAAAUACCAGGGCUCAACCUUGGAACUGCAUUCUUAACUACCGAACUAGAGUAUGUCAGAGGGGGGUAGAAUUCCGCGUGUAGCAGUGAAAUGCGUAGAUAUGCGGAGGAAUACCGAUGGCGAAGGCAGCCCCCUGGGAUAAUACUGACGCUCAUGCACGAAAGCGUGGGUAGCAAACAGG